Regulatory RNA element from Vibrio nereis, 50 nucleotides. It matches the Rfam family "malK-II RNA". NCBI's taxonomy places the organism in Bacteria, Pseudomonadati, Pseudomonadota, Gammaproteobacteria, Vibrionales, Vibrionaceae. The record is from Rfam.
AUUCCUACAGUUACUGUCGUCGCAAUAAUUCAUAUAAUGUUCGGCAGUAA